UUUUUUACAUCAAAACACUCCUCUUCCCUUCCUCUACUCGAAUCCGGACCCAUUAUUUCGAAAACAUGUGCCAAACAUCCUAGAUCUACAAAUGAAAGUGUGAAAGUUUUUACCUCUUUUUCCGGUGCGGUUCCGUUUCCUACUUGCUCCGGUUCGGUUCUUUCUUGCCUUGCUCCGGUUCGGUUCUGCUCUCUUUUCCGGUUCGCCUCUUCCUCUUUUUUCCGGUUCGGUUCUUCCUUGGUUUGGGAUGAUGAUGAUUUGUGGUUGUAUGGGCUGAUUUGAGGUUUUGUUUAAGUUUUGUGUUGCUGGAUUUUGAUGAAUCUAUGAAUGUUCUUCAUGAGUUCAUGUUAUUUCUUUGUAAUUUUAGUGUUUGAUCUGAAAACUGGUUGGAAAAAUGGAAAAAAUAGGGUUUGUGAAUUGAUGCUGAUUUUUUUUUGACGUGAACAGUGAUUUUUUUUUUGGCCCCAUUUCUCAAUGAUUGACAGUGUAUUUAUAGAGACAAACUAGGGUUGGCUCAGGCACAGAACUAAUACCAAAAUGCCCCUGCUGAAAACUUGGAGACAAAGUUUAAUCAAAUAAAAGAUAAUAAUAAUAAUAAUAAUAAUAAUAAAAUAAAAGAAAGGAGG
RNAcentral lists this long non-coding RNA (626 nucleotides) under Medicago truncatula (barrel medic). RNAcentral describes it as "long non-coding RNA (MTRU_LNC000488)". Lineage: Eukaryota; Viridiplantae; Streptophyta; Magnoliopsida; Fabales; Fabaceae. The record is from RNAcentral.